GUGGAUUAGAUACCCUGGUAGUCCACGCCCUAAACGAUGUCGACUAGUUGUCGGGAAUUCAUUUUCUCGGUAACGCAGCUAACGCGUGAAGUCGACCGCCUGGGGAGUACGGUCGCAAGAUUAAAACUCAAAGGAAUUGACGGGGACCCGCACAAGCGGUGGAUGAUGUGGAUUAAUUCGAUGCAACGCGAAAAACCUUACCUACCCUUGACAUGCCCGGAAUCCCGCAGAGAUGUGGGAGUGCCCGAAAGGGAGCCGGGACACAGGUGCUGCACGGUCGUCGCCAGCG
Molecule: ribosomal RNA, 289 nt
Filed under: uncultured bacterium
Lineage: Bacteria
Description: partial 16S ribosomal RNA
Rfam family: Bacterial small subunit ribosomal RNA
Source: RNAcentral